UGAGGAAUAUUGGUCAAUGGGCGAGAGCCUGAACCAGCCAAGUAGCGUGCAGGAUGACGGCCCUAUGGGUUGUAAACUGCUUUUAUGCGGGGAUAAAGUGUGCGACGUGUCGUGCAUUGCAGGUACCGCAUGAAUAAGGACCGGCUAAUUCCGUGCCAGCAGCCGCGGUAAUACGGAAGGUCCGGGCGUUGUCCGGAUUUAUUGGGUUUAAAGGGAGCGUAGGCCGCCAGAUAAGCGUGUUGUGAAAUGUACCGGCUCAACCGGUGAAUUGCAGCGCGAACUGUUUGGCUUGAGUGCACGGUAAGCAGGCGGAAUUCAUGGUGUAGCGGUGAAAUGCUUAGAUAUCAUGAAGAACUCCGAUUGCGAAGGCAGCUUGCUGCAGUGCGACUGACGCUGAUGCUCGAAGGUGCGGGUAUCAAACAGG
Molecule: ribosomal RNA, 424 nt
Filed under: Verrucomicrobiota bacterium
Lineage: Bacteria; Pseudomonadati; Verrucomicrobiota
Description: Verrucomicrobia bacterium partial 16S ribosomal RNA
Rfam family: Bacterial small subunit ribosomal RNA
Source: RNAcentral